This 498-nucleotide unclassified non-coding RNA is filed under the name uncultured Glomus. RNAcentral describes it as "SSU rRNA". It matches the Rfam family "Eukaryotic small subunit ribosomal RNA", at positions 591 to 1092 of the family's 1831-position model. The record is from RNAcentral. Lineage: Eukaryota; Fungi; Glomeromycota; Glomeromycetes; Glomerales; Glomeraceae.
CCAAUAGCGUAUAUUAAAGUUGUUGCAGUUAAAAAGCUCGUAGUUGAAUUUCGGGAUUAGUACGUUGGUCAUGCCUUGGUACGUACUGGUGUAACUGAUUCCUCCCUUCUGACGAACCGUUAUGCCAUUAAUUUGGUGUGGCGGGAAAUCAGGACUGUUACUUUGAAAAAAUUAGAGUGUUUAAAGCAGGCUCGCGCUUGAAUACAUUAGCAUGGAAUAAUGAAAUAGGACGUUAAUCCUAUUUUGUUGGUUUCUAGGAUCGACGUAAUGAUUAAUAGGGAUAGUUGGGGGCAUUAGUAUUCAAUUGUCAGAGGUGAAAUUCUUGGAUUUAUUGAAGACUAACUACUGCGAAAGCAUUUGCCAAGGAUGUUUUCAUUAAUCAAGAACGAAAGUUAGGGGAUCGAAGACGAUCAGAUACCGUCGUAGUCUUAACCAUAAACUAUGCCGACUAGGGAUCGGAUGAUGUUAAUUUUUUAAUGACUCAUUCGGCGCCUUACG